Priapulus caudatus is the source of this 385-nucleotide long non-coding RNA. RefSeq lists it as uncharacterized. The record is from RefSeq and is a predicted model, not a curated record. NCBI's taxonomy places the organism in Eukaryota, Metazoa, Priapulida, Priapulimorpha, Priapulimorphida, Priapulidae. The transcript has 3 exons.
CGAUACCGACCCAUUCCGCAUGCCCGAGCAUUUGCGCAACGACAUAGCCACAGUGGACAGUCUGUACCGCGGGCAGGACCACCACCACCACAACAACAACAACAACGAUGACGAUGCUGAUUCUCUGAUAAAAGCCACCCUGUGCUCGUUCAUAGAAGAUUUACUCAAGCUUCAUGGACCGUUGCACGUAUCAGGUCCCAUUCUUAUGGAAGAGAUAUUGAAUUUCCCUGUGGAAAGUUAGAGCCGUAGUAGACAGUGAGAAUGGAGGACUAGCAGAGAUGCUGCUGCAGUCUCUGCCGUUUACCCGUGUCCACUCGUACAUCUGCCUGCUCCGCGACAGUGUGCGCGCGCACGAACUCCACACGCGUGACCUCGCCGCGACCCA